This 460-nucleotide ribosomal RNA is filed under the name uncultured bacterium. RNAcentral describes it as "partial 16S ribosomal RNA". It matches the Rfam family "Bacterial small subunit ribosomal RNA", at positions 338 to 795 of the family's 1533-position model. The record is from RNAcentral.
CCUACGGGAGGCAGCAGUGAGGAAUAUUGGUCAAUGGACGAAAGUCUGAACCAGCCAUGCCGCGUGAAGGAAGACGGCCCUAUGAGUUGUAAACUGCUUUUGUACGAGGGUAAAUCCCGAUACGUGUAUCGGGUUGAAAGUAUCGUACGAAUAAGGAUCGGCUAACUCCGUGCCAGCAGCCGCGGUAAGACGGAGGAUUCAAGCGUUAUCCGGAUUUAUUGGGUUUAAAGGGUGCGUAGGCGGUUCGUUAAGUUAGAGGUGAAAUCUCGGGGCUCAACCGCGGCACUGCCGCUGAUACUGGCAGGCUAGAGUAUAGUAGAGGUAGGCGGAAUGUAUGGUGUAGCGGUGAAAUGCAUAGAUAUCAUGCAGAACACCGAUUGCGAAGGCAGCUUACCAAACUACGACUGACGUUGAGGCACGAAAGUGUGGGUAGCAAACAGGAUUAGAUACCCGGGUAGUC